This 252-nucleotide ribosomal RNA is filed under the name uncultured bacterium. RNAcentral describes it as "partial 16S ribosomal RNA". It matches the Rfam family "Bacterial small subunit ribosomal RNA", at positions 524 to 776 of the family's 1533-position model. The record is from RNAcentral.
UACGUAGGUCCCGAGCGUUGUCCGGAUUUAUUGGGCGUAAAGCGAGCGCAUGUGGUUUAUUAAGUCUGGUGUAAAAGGCAGUGGCUCAACCAUUGUAUGCAUUGGAAACUGGUAGACUUGAGUGCAGGAGAGGAGAGUGGAAUUCCAUGUGUAGCGGUGAAAUGCGUAGAUAUAUGGAGGAACACCGGUGGCGAAAGCGGCUCUCUGGCCUGUAACUGACACUGAAGCUCGAAAGCGUGGGGAGCAAACAGG